CGGGAAGGCGCCCGCCCGGCGGCCCCGCGCCCCGGGAAGCCAGCCCUACUCGGGUCGCCACCUUGCUUCUCACGGGCUUCAGUUUUCCCCUCUACCACCGCGCAUAAGGACCAGUUCGCUUCCAAAUUUCGGGGUGCUAUUGGAAAAUGCCUGGAGUAUUCAACAUUAUUCAGUCUUCAGAACGUGCUUCAGGGGUUUCUGCAGGGUAUCCCCAUGUUAUAGACCGGGAAGCCAGGAGGGUGGAGGCGGGUCGCUCAGGAUCACAGCCACCACUGCCACUAUGCCGAGCUCCCUCUCCCCUCUGAUGAGCUUAGGUCACAUGAGACUCCAGAAUCUUGAUGGGGGGCUGAGCCCCCAAAGAGCUCUAAUUCGGGACACCUCACACUGCGCAGUCAUGCAG
This 400-nucleotide long non-coding RNA is filed under the name Marmota monax (woodchuck). The record is from RNAcentral. Lineage: Eukaryota; Metazoa; Chordata; Mammalia; Rodentia; Sciuridae.